ACGCUCGACACCUACGGAGGCAGCAGUGGGGAAUAUUGGGCAAUGGGCGCAAGCCUGACCCAGCAACGCCGCGUGAAGGAAGAAGGCCCUCGGGUUGUAAACUUCUUUUGACAGGGACGAACAAGGUGACGGUACCUGUCGAAUAAGCUCCGGCUAACUACGUGCCAGCAGCCGCGGUAAUCUGAGCGGGCUGGCAAGGC
Molecule: ribosomal RNA, 200 nt
Filed under: uncultured bacterium
Lineage: Bacteria
Description: partial 16S ribosomal RNA
Rfam family: Bacterial small subunit ribosomal RNA
Source: RNAcentral